Molecule: ribosomal RNA, 496 nt
Filed under: uncultured bacterium
Lineage: Bacteria
Description: partial 16S ribosomal RNA
Rfam family: Bacterial small subunit ribosomal RNA
Source: RNAcentral
AUGCACGCUGGCGGCGUGCCUAAUACAUGCAGGUCGAGCGAACAGACGAGGAGCUUGCUCCUCUGACGUUAGCGGCGGACGGGUGAGUAACACGUGGAUAACCUACCUAUAAGACUGGGAUAACUUCGGGAAACCGGAGCUAAUACCGGAUAAUAUAUUGAACCGCAUGGUUCAAUAGUGAAAGACGGUUUUGCUGUCACUUAUAGAUGGAUCCGCGCCGCAUUAGCUAGUUGGUAAGGUAACGGCUUACCAAGGCAACGAUGCGUAGCCGACCUGAGAGGGUGAUCGGCCACACUGGAACUGAGACACGGUCCAGACUCCUACGGGAGGCAGCAGUAGGGAAUCUUCCGCAAUGGGCGAAAGCUUGACGGAGCAACGCCGCGUGAGUGAUGAAGGUCUUCGGAUCGUAAAACUCUGUUAUUAGGGAAGAACAAAUGUGUAAGUAACUAUGCACGUCUUGACGGUACCUAAUCAGAAAGCCACGGCUAACUACGUG